RNAcentral lists this long non-coding RNA (2064 nucleotides) under Gossypium raimondii (Peruvian cotton). RNAcentral's name for it is "long non-coding RNA (GRAI_LNC001186)". The record is from RNAcentral. Lineage: Eukaryota; Viridiplantae; Streptophyta; Magnoliopsida; Malvales; Malvaceae.
GAUCACGAAGCCUUUUUCCCUUCAAUGCCAACUGAGCUUCGGUUCUGGAGUGGCGGCUUGCUUUACGUUUCACGCUGAAUGGCCUUCUUCUGUCAACCUGUACCUUCUCUUUUUCCCUCAUUUUCUUCUAUUUAACGUUGUAAAUCUUGUCUCUCUCUGAUAUCUUACCUUGUUUCAUUUAUUGUUUCUUUUCCCCAUCUCGGUAUUAACAGUUUUCAGUAGAUCUGAAGUGAUUCUUUUCUUCUUAUGGUAUUUAUUAUUUUUUUCUUUUCAUGGACUGCCAAUCAAGAUUGCACCUUUUCCCCCAUAUAUUAAAGAAUUUUUAAAUGUUCUGAGUAAUAAUGGAAAUCUAUAUCCAUCUGGUAAUGGAUUUGGAAAAUGCAUGGCUUGAUGGUUCAAUUUGCUGUUAAAAAUCACUGGGUUUUCCCCCUCCUUGUUAAAAUUCGCUUUUAUGUUAAGUUUGUGUCAUUCUGUAUUGGGUUCCCCCCCUCUUCAUGGCUAUGGGAGUUGAUUUGUUGAUAUCUUUGGGAGAUAUGAAGUUUCAUAUACAAUGCAGGGUUAAUUAGCUAGCAUUGGUAUAAAAUUAACAAAAAUCAUUUGAUAAAAGAUGGUUUUUAGGGUAAAAGUAUUAUGGAGGCCUCUGAACUAGGAACUAAAAAAUGGGCAAAUUAGUCUCUAUACAUUAGAUCAAAGAGCAAACUCGUCCUUCUGUUACAAAUUUCACAAGGCACUGGUUAUUCUGUCAACAAGCCAGUUUUUAAGAGAAAGGAUUAAUUUCUUCUUUAAUCAAACGUAUAGGGAUUAAUUUGCACAUUUUUUUACUAAAAGGGGGCAAAAUGUGAUCGGACUCUACAAGGGCUUCCAUGAUAUUUUUACCAGUUUUUAGCGCAAUCUUUGAAUAUAUGAGCAGUCAUUUUCUAUUAGAGAUUUGUUUACAGUAUUCAUCUUUCGCUUGUUUUUUCCUCUUUGAGAUUAUGAAUUAGCUUAUUUCUUCCUUUAAGACAAAUAGCUAAUGUUUGCUAUUUUUUUACCACAGGUUGUAUAGGCAUUGAUCAAGGUCUGUUCUUAUCAUUUAAGAAAAAAUGGAAUUUGAAUCGAAGAAGAAAUGGAAAUCAGUGUUGCCACGUCUUUUCAAAAACAAAUCAGCUUCUCGUUGUUUUUUCCCGAAGGUGAAGCCAGCUACUUUCAGUCCGAGUUGUACUCCAGUAUAUCUCAAUGUAUAUGACCUAACACCCAUGAAUGGCUAUAUUUACUGGGCGGGCCUUGGUAUCUUUCAUUCCGGUGUCGAAGGUUGGUUUAUAUCAUUUUUUACUCUGUGAUUUUGCUCCUUUGCUCGGUUGGUGUCUUUCAUUAUAGCAUUUUACAAUAGCAGUUGUCGAGUUGGAAUGCGGAGCAAUGAAGUUAAACUAAAUAUGCAAGAUAUGGACUUGAGAAUUUUGUUUUUGCUAACUGGUAUUGAGUCUUUAAGUCUUAGCUUUUCUGAUAGCCCAACCUACGUGCUUUAUAGUUUAUGGUGUGGAAUAUGCAUUUGGAGCUCAUGACUACCCAACAAGUGGUGUUUUCGAGGUUGAACCACGACAGUGCCCGGGAUUCAAGUUUAAGAAAUCAAUAUUCAUUGGAACCACAUCAUUGGACCCACACCAAGUAAGGGAUUUUGUGGAGCGCUACUCGGAAAGGUACAAUGGUGAUACGUAUCACUUGAUAGUCAAGAACUGCAACCAUUUCUGUGAUGAUAUUUGUCAGAAGCUGACGGGGAAACGCAUUCCUAGAUGGGUAAAUAGACUGGCAAGAAUAGGUACACAAUUACAUUCCUGACUUGCAAGAUACAUGAGGUGUUUAUUCUCAUGUUGCAUUUUGGUACGGAUCUCAAACAACCUGAAACUUGUGCUUUUGUGUGUCAGGUUCAAUGUGCAACUGCAUUCUUCCAGAAGGCCUUAAAACUUCAGUUGUUCGGCAUGAUCCAAAUUAUGAACCGCAAGAUAGUGAGAAGAAGAGAUUGAGAUCUCCCUUUAGUUGCCUAGCUUCAGUGUCGAAGCAGCAGAAGACUUCACAUAAAUCACCUUC